GACGAACGCUGGCGGCGUGCCUAAUACAUGCAAGUAGAACGCUGAAGGAGGAGCUUGCUCUUCUGGAUGAGUUGCGAACGGGUGAGUAACGCGUAGGUAACCUGCCUGGUAGCGGGGGAUAUCUAUUGGAAACGAUAGCUAAUACCGCAUAAGAGUAGAUGUCGCAUGACAUUUGCUUAAAAGGUGCAAUUGCAUCACUACCAGAUGGACCUGCGUUGUAUUAGCUAGUUGGUGAGGUAACGGCUCACCAAGGCAACGAUACAUAGCCGACCUGAGAGGGUGAUCGGCCACACUGGGACUGAGACACGGCCCAGACUCCUACGGGAGGCAGCAGUAGGGAAUCUUCGGCAAUGGACGGAAGUCUGACCGAGCAACGCCGCGUGAGUGAAGAAGGUUUUCGGAUCGUAAAGCUCUGUUGUAAGAGAAGAACGAGUGUGAGAGUGGAAAGUUCACACUGUGACGGUAUCUUACCAGAAAGGGACGGCUAACUACGUGCCAGCAGCCGCGGUAAUACGUAGGUCCCGAGCGUUGUCCGGAUUUAUUGGGCGUAAAGCGAGCGCAGGCGGUUAGAUAAGUCUGAAGUUAAAGGCUGUGGCUUAACCAUAGUACGCUUUGGAAACUAUUUAACUUGAGUGCAAGGGGGGAGAGUGGAAUUCCAUGUGUAGCGGUGAAAUGCGUAGAUAUAUGGAGGAACACCGGUGGCGAAAGCGGCUCUCUGGCUUGUAACUGACGCUGAGGCUCGAAAGCGUGGGGAGCAAACAGG
This 763-nucleotide ribosomal RNA is filed under the name uncultured Streptococcus sp. Its description in RNAcentral is "bacterial SSU rRNA". It matches the Rfam family "Bacterial small subunit ribosomal RNA", at positions 28 to 776 of the family's 1533-position model. The record is from RNAcentral. Lineage: Bacteria; Bacillati; Bacillota; Bacilli; Lactobacillales; Streptococcaceae.